Molecule: long non-coding RNA, 446 nt
Filed under: Ananas comosus (pineapple)
Lineage: Eukaryota; Viridiplantae; Streptophyta; Magnoliopsida; Poales; Bromeliaceae
Description: long non-coding RNA (ACOM_LNC016518)
Source: RNAcentral
AAAUAGAAGAAAAAGGCCAAAUUGCACAUUUGGUCCUCAAACUUUGAGGAGCGUGACAUUAUGGUCUUAAAAUUUCAACUUCUUAUAAUUUUUUACUUAAAUUUUUAAAAUUAUUGCAAUCAAGUCUUGCAUUUUAAUAUAGUUAAUUAAAUGUCGAUACGUUGUUAAUAUUAAAGUAAUAUAGUUGGGUUGGGAUUGAUUACGCGAUAAUAAUUAAGAUGGUAUAUAUAUAUCUUCGACAUCAACGAUAUGCUAAUAUUAUGUCAGUUAAAUUGAAUUAUAGAAUUUAACUUUAAUAAUUUAUAAAAUUCGAGUUAAAAAUUAUAAUAGAUUAAAGUUUAAAGAUUAAAUAUCGUGCUUUUGUGCUUUUGAUAUACAUUGCAUGAAAAAUAUAAAAAAUGAUAAAAUCAAGAAAAUAAAUAAAUUAGUUCUGAUUUCUAAUUAAA